UGAGUAACCUGCCCUUGACUCUGGGAUAAGCCUGGGAAACCGGGUCUAAUACCGGAUAUGACUCCUCAUCGCAUGGUGGGGGGUGGAAAGCUUUUUUGUGGUUUUGGAUGGACUCGCGGCCUAUCAGCUUGUUGGUGAGGUAAUGGCUCACCAAGGCGACGACGGGUAGCCGGCCUGAGAGGGUGACCGGCCACACUGGGACUGAGACACGGCCCAGACCUCCUACGGGAGGCAG
This 235-nucleotide ribosomal RNA is filed under the name uncultured bacterium. RNAcentral describes it as "partial 16S ribosomal RNA". It matches the Rfam family "Bacterial small subunit ribosomal RNA", at positions 118 to 351 of the family's 1533-position model. The record is from RNAcentral.